RNAcentral lists this ribosomal RNA (468 nucleotides) under uncultured bacterium. Its description in RNAcentral is "partial 16S ribosomal RNA". It matches the Rfam family "Bacterial small subunit ribosomal RNA", at positions 28 to 507 of the family's 1533-position model. The record is from RNAcentral.
GACGAACGCUGGCGGCGUGCUUAACACAUGCAAGUCGAACGGAAAGGCCCUGCGUUUGUGGGGUUCUCGAUGGCCGAAGGGGGGAGUAACACGUGAGUAACCUGCCCUUGACUUUGGGGGAACAUCAGGAAACUGGGGCUAAUAUCGGAUAGGAUCUCCUGCAGCGUGGGGGGGGGUGGAAAGUUUCGGCGGUUGGGGAUGGACUCGCGGCUUAUCAGCUUGUUGGUGGGGUAGUGGCUGACCAAGGCUUUGACGGGUAGGCGGCCUGGGAGGGUGGACGGCGACAUGGGUCCUACGAUACGGACCAGUCUGCAACGGGAGGCAGUGGUGGGAAAUAUUGCACAACGGGCGCACGCCUGAGGCAGAGGCCCUGCGUUCGUGAUGCCGGCCUUCGGGUUGUAAACCGCUUUCGCCUGUGACGAAGCGUGAGUGACGGUACUGAGUAAAGAAGCACCGGCUAACUACGUG